Podarcis lilfordi (Lilford's wall lizard) is the source of this 69-nucleotide non-coding RNA. The record is from the annotation of a GenBank genome assembly. NCBI's taxonomy places the organism in Eukaryota, Metazoa, Chordata, Lepidosauria, Squamata, Lacertidae.
GGUGGCACGUUGGGUUAGUGCAUCUGGCUGUUAACCAGAAGGUUGGUGGCUCGAGCCCACCCAGGGAUG